UACGGAGGGUGCAAGCGUUGUCCGGAAUCACUGGGCGUAAAGGGCGCGUAGGCGGUUUGGCGCGCGUGCGGUGAAAGCUCGGGGCUUAACCCCGAGUCUGCCGUGCGGACGGCCAAGCUAGGGCACUGUAGAGGCAGGUAGAAUUCCGGGUGUAGCGGUGGAAUGCGUAGAGAUCCGGAAGAAUACCGGUGGCGAAGGCGGCCUGCUGGGCAGUAGCCGACGCUGAGGCGCGACAGCGUGGGGAGCAAACAGG
RNAcentral lists this ribosomal RNA (253 nucleotides) under uncultured bacterium. RNAcentral describes it as "partial 16S ribosomal RNA". It matches the Rfam family "Bacterial small subunit ribosomal RNA", at positions 524 to 776 of the family's 1533-position model. The record is from RNAcentral.